GAUGAAGAACGUAGCGAAAUGCGAUACUUGGUGUGAAUUGCAGAAUCCCGUGAACCAUCGAGUUUUUGAACGCAAGUUGCGCCUCAAGCCAUUAGGUUGAGGGCACGUCUGCCUGGGCGUCACAUAUCGUUGCCUGAUGCCAGUUUCCUCGUGAUGGGUGACUGUGCAGGGCGAAUGAUGGCUUCCCGUGAGCAUUGUUGCCUCAUGGUUGGUUGGAAAUUGAGUCCUUGGUAGGGAGCGCCGUGAUAGAUGGUGGUUGAGUGACGAACGAGACCCAAUCAUGUGAGACCCCUACCGAAUUUGGCCUUCAUGACCCACAUGCGUCUUUGGAACGCUCAUGACGAGACCUCAGGUCAGGCGGGGCUACCCGCUGAGUUUAAGCAUAUCAAUAAGCGGAGGA
RNAcentral lists this unclassified non-coding RNA (400 nucleotides) under soil metagenome. RNAcentral's name for it is "partial contains 5.8S ribosomal RNA, internal transcribed spacer 2, and large subunit ribosomal RNA". The stretch from base 1 to 122 matches the Rfam family "5.8S ribosomal RNA", at positions 35 to 154 of the family's 154-position model. The record is from RNAcentral.